CCCAGCUAGGCCGGCCGCCGCGGCCUGUUCCGCCCAGCGCCCGGGCAUUCCCGCCAUUCCCCCGGGUCGGCCCGCGGGCCACGGCCGCCUGCGGAGCACGGGAACCGUCACCUCCCGAGGACAGGCGCCCUCGCCUCGGGACCCGGCUCCCCUGCUGCCUGCGCCGCUCUGUCCGCCUGGAGCUGCCCAAGCCUCCAGCAAGGGCCACCGAGGGCUCCAGGAACACCCCAGGCCCGUUCUCCCGGCCCACAGCGCCCCACCUGUGACCCUCAGCGACCCUCCCGGGCUGCCCUCCGGCGGCGCGGCUGUCUGGAGGCUCGGCCCCGUCGCAGCCCCGCGGCCUCCCAGCCCGGCGCCGGGUGGGGAGGGGAGGGUGGCAUUCCCGAGUCCGCGGAGGGAAGCGUCGCGGCUGCAGUCGCGCCAGCCCUCGGGCCUCCAUCCGCCACGCUGCGACGCGGCUCACAAACUAGGGAGGGGAGAAGGGAAGAAACACCCGGUUCGGGAACACGACUUUGUCCCUGGAACUGUAUACAUCACGUCCCCUCACUUAAUCCUCACAAGACCUGUGGGCCGUGUCGUCAUUUUAGGGCUGGAGAUGAGGAAGCCGAGGCUCGGAGAGAUGAAGCGUCGUACGGCCACUGAGCGGCUGCUUUGCAACGAAGCCAAAGCCAACAUUUGUUCUUAGCGGCAGUGGUUUGAGCCACGCCUUACCGCAGCGACUCUGCCAUCAGCCAAGAGGUGGAGUGAAGGUACCUGAGCGCAGGAACCAUGGUCUUCACUGCUGCCUCAGCAUUAGCUGAAGUGCCAUGGGCCGGCUCCCAGGGUGCCAGAGUUUCCCAGGAACACCAUUGAGUACCACUGUCUGCAAGUUAAAGUAAGGCAAGAAGGAAAACCAGAAACAGCUGUAAAAACCUGACUUCAUCACCUUAAUACUGGCCAUCAUUUAUCGAGUGCUUAUUAUAUAACAGACAUUGUUCUGUGUGUGAGUGCGGUGUUCCUCGAACAUAAAUGUGCGUCUGAAUCGCAGGGGACCUUGGUAAAAUGCAGUUUCUGAUUCAGUACCUCUGGAGUGGGGCCUGAGAUUCUGCAUUUCCAACAAGCUCCCAGGAUACUUUGUGUAGAAAGGCUUUGGUGUAUUAACUCGAUCUUCUUAAUAAUCCUAUGAAAUACCACUGCUAUUCCCAUUUUACAGAUGGGGAACCAGGUUAGGCGUAUAUGAACUUACAUCAAAAUAAAUAGACUGCAGGGCAAGGAGGGAGGGGAGAAUAGUGUGGGCCGUGUACAAUGAAGAAACAGAGUUCUAGGCAGAGGAAAAAGGAUUUACAGAAAGCCUGGCAUACAGGGCAGGGGGACGGGGCCUGCACACGGGGCUGUUUCACUGUUAGACGUUAUAUGCACAGUACUUGGGGCUAUGGGCUUCCUGAAGGUCCCAAGUAUUUGAGACCUGAAAAAAAUUUAUUGACACCUACAUAGGAAAAAUGAACAUUUAAAUUAAUAAUUCCAAAAUUCAAAUCAUGAAUUGUUUCAAAAAUUUUACAUGAUAGAAUUCAUAUUUAGUAAGUGAUAUGGGUAUAUUUUAAUGCAUUUGAUUUUAAAAACGAGGUAGGGCCUACUAAGAACAGGCCAAGCCCUGGCCCCAGUGGGUUUGGAUAUAAUCCUGAGGGCAGCUGGGAACCACUGAGAAGCAGGAGAAUGUUCUCUGUGGCUACAGUGAGGAGAAUGGAUUGGAGGGAGGCCAGACUAGAGGCUCAGUGGCUAGAGACCAGAUAGGCAGUUACAGUCUUCCAGACUGCGAGACAAUCUCUCUUUAGUGCCAAGAUUAGCAUAAAAUCAUAGCAUUAUAUAACCCAAUUAUUCUUUGAUUCCUUCGGCCCCAAUCUGACUCAGCAUUCUAAAUUUACUUAAGAUCUGGGGACAAGGGUUUUUGGCAAAUCCUUGAAGGCAAAUGAUGUUACAGUCAAUCAGUAUAUGCCUUGAGACAGACAGACAUGGAUGCGGGCCUCAGUUCUGCUGCUUGCUAGCUAUGUGACUGCACAAGUGAUUUAACUUCUCUGGGCCUUGGAUUCCUUACUGGUAACAUGAGCAUAAUUGAUUCCUCACAGAAUUAAGUGAGAAAACUAUGUAUAUAGGACUUCUUAUGGAGUGGGUACUUAGAAAUAAAUGGUAGCCGUUA
RNAcentral lists this non-coding RNA (2173 nucleotides) under Pongo abelii (Sumatran orangutan). The record is from RNAcentral. Lineage: Eukaryota; Metazoa; Chordata; Mammalia; Primates; Hominidae.